GAAAACAAGAAUGUUAAUAUGUGUCCACCCUAACGAGAUGUUCACAAGAACAAAACAGCAACUUUUGAGCAAGCUGGAAUGUAGCCAUGAUGCCUGCAAAGUGUUACUAUCACCCAUGACCAUGAGGGAAAAGUCAUUUGAAUAACAGAAAUGAGAGCCUUGAUAUCUUUGAACCAGCAGUAACAACUACCUCUCCCAAACCCACUUGACAUGUAGGGAAUUAAACCUCUGUUUGUUUAGAGCAAUCUCAAUUGUGUUUUCUGUUACCUGAUACUGGAA
RNAcentral lists this long non-coding RNA (279 nucleotides) under Heterocephalus glaber (naked mole-rat). Its description in RNAcentral is "lncRNA (ENSHGLG00000036151.1)". Lineage: Eukaryota; Metazoa; Chordata; Mammalia; Rodentia; Bathyergidae. The record is from RNAcentral.